UACGGGGGGGCAAGCGUUGUUCGGAAUUACUGGGCGUAAAGGGCUCGUAGGUGGCCAACUAAGUCGGACGUGAAAUCCCUCGGCUUAACCUGGGAACUGCGCUUGUAACUGGCAAGCUAGAGUGUGGCAGAGGGGGGGUGGAAUUCCAGGUGUAGCAGUGAAAUGCGUAGAGAUCUGGAGGAACACCGAUGGCGAAGGCAGCCCCCUGGGCUAACACUGACGCUCAUGCACGAAAGCGUGGGGAGCAAACAGG
This 253-nucleotide ribosomal RNA is filed under the name uncultured bacterium. RNAcentral describes it as "partial 16S ribosomal RNA". It matches the Rfam family "Bacterial small subunit ribosomal RNA", at positions 524 to 776 of the family's 1533-position model. The record is from RNAcentral.